GCACUGAUCUGUUGUUGACAGAAACCUUUAUUGAUAUGACAGCAGAGUCUAUUACAAUAGCAGAGACUAUAACAAUGUUUUAAUCCCAGUACUUACUGCGCCGAAUGACGCGUUAUAGUAAAUUUUUUGAAUAAUUUACAAAAGAAGUUGUUUUGAACGGUUUCCUUCGUAAGUGAUUGUUUCAAAAAGCUUCUUAUGUAAAUUACAUUUUUUUUGAAAGGCUUCGUUUCAAGACUAGUCAUAAAUGCAAUAAACUAUCCACAUGCUAAUAAACAACAAUGCAAACAGAUGUCGCAAUUGGAAUCUAAAGAUUAGUAAAAUUUUCUUCUCGUGAAAAACAUUCAAGAUCUCCAGUUCUUUAUUAUUUUCACCGAUUUUAAAGCAAUAGAUAUUCCGGUUCAUGGUUUCAAAUUAAAAAAAAAAGUGCAAUUCUGGAUCCUGAAAAUAAAAUUGCAGUGGAUUUUUAUAGUUCGAAAUUGCUGCUCAAGUGAAAAUAAAUUACCAAAAAGCUAAAAUCAAGUUUCCUUCAAAAAAUAUGUUAUAAUUUUCAAGACUAUUGGAAAAGAUUUCAAAAACGAGUGUACGCAUUGAUUUACAUAUUGAAAAGUAUAAAAGAUGGAUUAAGAACCAUUUUCGAAUGACGAACUUGCCUAUUUUUUGAAAAGAGAAUUAAAAACAUCAACUCUUAUAAUAUGCUGAAAUGAAAGUCUAUAAAUCUGAUAAAGCGUUUAAAAAAAUUGAUUGAUUAAAAGAAUGAUAUUUCACAGCGUGGUCUUGCAAAACGAUUCAAUGUAUCACAACUGUACAUAUGCAAAGUUAUAAAAACGAUUCAAUGUAUCACAACUGUACAUAUGCAAAGUUAUAAAUUAAAAAAGUAGUAUUCGUUAUCGCAAUAAAACACCGAAAAGAACACCGCCGCAAAUAAUCAGCUGUUUGAGACGCUGUUGAUUAUUAUUGAUGUUCGUUCGAAACGCUGUAGAUUAAUAUUGAUUUUUUGCAAAAUGAAAUUGCUAUUAUUAACAAUGAAUUGUAUUUGAUUUGAGUAACACGAAUAUAUCUCUCUAUAUCAUAAAUGA
Non-coding RNA from Hydra vulgaris (swiftwater hydra), 1076 nucleotides. NCBI's taxonomy places the organism in Eukaryota, Metazoa, Cnidaria, Hydrozoa, Anthoathecata, Hydridae. The record is from RefSeq and is a predicted model, not a curated record.